GGGUCAGUAGGUUGGUCGUGCCACCGGUACGUACUGGUCUCACUGAUUCCUCCUUCCUGAAGAACCGUAAUGCCAUUAAUUUGGUGUUGCGGGAAGACAGGACUGUUACUUUGAAAAAAUUAGAGUGUUUAACGCAAGCUAACGCUUGAAUACAUUAGCAUGGAAUAAUGAAAUAGGACGAUCGAUCCUAUUUUGUUGGUUUCUAGGAUUGACGUA
Molecule: ribosomal RNA, 216 nt
Filed under: Glomeromycotina sp.
Lineage: Eukaryota; Fungi; Glomeromycota
Description: partial small subunit ribosomal RNA
Rfam family: Eukaryotic small subunit ribosomal RNA (bases 40-216)
Source: RNAcentral